AGCUUUACACAGUGGCAGUAUCGUAGCCAAUGAGGUUUAUCGAGGUGCAAUUAUUGCUAAUUGAAAAAAUAAAAAAUAAAUUAAUUAAAAUUAAACACAAUAGCUGCUUCAAAGCA
Molecule: small nuclear RNA, 116 nt
Filed under: Myotis lucifugus (little brown bat)
Lineage: Eukaryota; Metazoa; Chordata; Mammalia; Chiroptera; Vespertilionidae
Description: U4 spliceosomal RNA
Rfam family: U4 spliceosomal RNA
About the family: U4 small nuclear RNA (U4 snRNA) is a component of the major U2-dependent spliceosome. The structure of U4 snRNA from yeast and human has been reported. U4 snRNA presents a k-turn RNA motif in the 5p-SL related to recognition of Snu13 protein.
Source: Rfam by way of RNAcentral